This 28-nucleotide non-coding RNA is filed under the name Cricetulus griseus (Chinese hamster). The record is from RNAcentral. Lineage: Eukaryota; Metazoa; Chordata; Mammalia; Rodentia; Cricetidae.
ACUCCCGGCAGGGACUGAGGACUACAUU